CUUACAUGUUUGUUUCAGUUAUGUCCUGUUUAUUUUUUGUUCAAAGAUGACUAGAUUAAAUGUGUUUUUUUUUUUUUUGUCAACAUACACUCAUAAUUGAUGAACUAUUACAUGUUGUAUCAUUGUGGUGCAUCUUUGUUUACUAUUUAAAAAUGUGAUAUCAGAAACUGCCCUCAAUAUCAAAAAUUGUAAGUUCCAUAAAUAUAUAGUGUUUCCUAUGAUAAAAUGGAUGUAUGAUAUAUAGUAUGAAAGCAAUGAACAGAAUAGAAAAUCCAUUAUUUCAUAUCAACAAAAAAGUAUUUGCAGAAUGAAUAUUCUGUUUUUAUGAAUGGUAGAAGAAGAUGAAAUGCACAUUCUAUUCAAUUAUGGAAAACAUAGCAAAAUUCAUGAUUCAUUUUCACUUAAAAAAAUAAAGAAAAAAAAGCUAAGAAAGCUCAUACAUUGUUUCAAUUUAAAUAUGUUGCCAAUAUCAUUGAUAGUAACAUAACUACAUUUACACAUUUAAGAAUUUUAUCCUAAUCUUGCCUAAGGGUUAAAAGGGACAUCAAUAUUGUUAUCUUUUUGUGUGACUUUUAUGAAUAGUUCAUAAAAAAGAUGUGCUACCACAAUUAAUUUCUUUGAUGUUGGAAAUCGAAAAGCUAACUUAAACAAUCUGAUGAAUAGUUUUUCAAUCCUAAAAGAAAGGUGAAAAAGUAACUAUGUUUUACUGAUUUCAAGGCAUUCUCUAUAGAUAUAAUAGCAGAGAUAUUUUUUAUCAAUGACCUUUGAUUUUAGACUUUUUAAUUGGAAGAUUCUGAUACCACUAUGAAUGAGAUUUUCCAUCAGUUUUGAUAAGUUCCACAAUCAUUUAAGUAUGUUGAAUUUGAGACAAGUAUAAAGAACAAUGUAUAUAUAUAAUCUUGAAAUAAAAAUGAAAAUUGUGUCUACAAAGAAGUGGUGCAAUUCUUAAGUUUAUUUUAUUUUGUCAUGCAAAUUUUGUAUGUUCAUUUGUUCAAGUUGUUAAUGUUGCAUUCAAUCAUUGUUAAUUCAAAAUUGUAAAAAGGGUACAUGUUAUUGUUAAUAUUAUAUAUGACUUCUUAAUUUGAAAAUGACUAUGCAUUCAUGAUAAGUUUGAUUGUAUGGUGCAUUCUAUCAAAUCUGGUUGGUCCUUGAUAAAAACAUGUUUAUUAUGUAUGUUGAUAGAAUAACAUGUUCACUGUAAUUCAGUUUAUUAAUAUAAUAAUGAUAUUAUGUUAGAGAUUAUAUGAAAUACUAACUUGUGCCAUCUUGAUUUUUAAUUAAUCAAAAUACAGAUACUUAAGGAUUUGUCUAAAAUUGUCAAAAUGUACUGAAAUAAUCAUGUUUAAGAAUUAAGUGUUUGUGCUUUGUAUGUCUAUAUUUGUUAGUCUAUUCUUGUUAAAAUUUUGGAAUUACUACUUUGUAACCUAAUUAUUUUUUUGAUGAACAUGCAUAUUCACCAUGUAUCAUCGUACAGUGGAUAUAGGUACUAACCAAGCAGGCGUGAGCGAUUUUGAUCUUACAUGGUAAUGAAAAUCUUUGUUUUGUUUACAUAAUAUCAAUGUGUACUUCAAUCUAAACAUACCUGCUGUUUUAAGAAAUGAUUUGGUUGUAGAUUGAUGAUUACAGAUGUCUCAUUAUUUUCCCAAAACAAGAGGGAUUACUAAAACAUUGUAAAAGCAUGUGCAAAUACUUGUCAAAGAAGUUGACCCUCGUCUCAUCCGAUAUAAUUCUAUAUUCAUUGCAUCUCUUUUUCUGAUAGAAGGUUAUUGUGUGUGUUAAAUAAGUAUAGUUGGCAUUGAAAUCUUUCAUACAUAUGUUAUUUUUUUAUAUUUUAUCGCUAAAGAAUCGUUGUGUAUGGUGUUUAGCUGACCACAUAAAUCCUUACAUACGUUAAAAUUGAGAAUGGAAAUGGGGAAUAUGCCAAAGAGACAACAUCCAACCAUAGAGCAUAGUUCAGUUGUUGUACACUGUACACAAAAACUUUAUUUUCAUACUUGUUUAUUACCCUAAAAGUUUUAAAGAAUGAGUAAUCACAAGUAGGUUUAUGAUUGGUAACUAUUACUUUUGCCCUGUAUUACCUUUCUUUCAGAUAAAGCAUGCAAAUGUCUCAAGAACUGUAUCGAAAUUGAAAGUUGGUGUUGACAUUCACAACUAUUUGCCCAUGUACAAGUUAAUUUUUCUUAUUAGAAUAUCAGAGUUGUUUUAUGAAUAGGAAAAAAUUGAUGCGAAAAUUAUUUGGGAGCAGGAAUUUCAAAUGUUGAGAAAUAUACGUUGAAUAUUGAUAAAGCAAAACAAAGAUUUUCGUUACCAUGGAAGGUCAAAAUCGAUCAUGCCUGCUUGGUUAGUACCUAUAUCCGGUGUACUGAUAAUACACAGUGAUAUUGCACUUAUUGAAUAUUGUUACUGUGAUGGAAGCUGACCGGCCAUACAAAGGUGCCAAUUAGGAUAUGUAUUAUAAUGUUAGGAAAUAUAUAGAAUCAUCUAUUUGAAAGGCACUGAACCUAUGAACACCAAAAAUGACAAUAAACAUUCUUUUGAGUUGCCAAGUGUUCACAAUAAGGCCACAUUCAGGUUGUCAGAGAAAUCUCUGACAUAUGACAGCCUAUUAGUGCUUGUUGGGACUAUGGUCUUUGUAAAGGUUGUAUAUGAAUAAAGGGAGUUAUGGGGUUUUCUUCAACGUGACACCAACCAAAUGAAUGAAAUACAAAAGUGAUCUAGAGUAUUUUCGUGUCUCAAAUCAGAAGCCUACAAUGCAAUGUUUGCAAUUUAUUUCUGUAUUUCACUCUAUCAUGUUUUUUGUUUGUAUAAAAUCAGGCUAUUGGUUAUUUUAUUUAAAUUGUUUAACAUCUUGUUAUAUCUGGGCCUUUUAUAGCUUCCAAUGUGAUAAGGAUUUUGCUCAUUGUUAAAGGAUGUACAAUGACCUUUCUGCUGGCUGGUUGUCUCAUUAGCAAUCACCCCAAAUAUCCUUAUUUUAUGGUGAGGUCAAGUUUCAAUCUUCAGCAAUAGACAGAAGUUUUAAAAGUCAAUGCCAAGCUCUAAAUUGUUGAGUUUAAAACAAAGUUUUGAAUAAUUUCAAUACAUAACCUUUCAAACAUCUGCCAAUAAAACUGAACUCUCUAACAACAAAAAACCAAAAGAUAUAACAUAAUACAGCCAUUGACUAGGUCCCUCCCUUAAGACGUACACAUGAACAUUUAUUUUUAGAUAAUCAAACAUUUUACACUUGAAGAUCUAAUUUGAGUGAUGAUAGAAAUGCAAUAUUUUUUUAUUUAGGUGAAAUGUUAAAAUAGACAAUACAUGAUUAUUAUACUGUUUAUUUGCAACUAGAUUGAUAUAAGAUAAAAAUGAUUUUAUUUUAAAGAUAAGUGCUAAACUUCUGUUGCUUGUUUCAUUGUAAUGUAUUAAUUUGAAUAAAUCAUUUGAUUUCA
This 3428-nucleotide long non-coding RNA is filed under the name Mytilus galloprovincialis (Mediterranean mussel). The record is from RNAcentral. Lineage: Eukaryota; Metazoa; Mollusca; Bivalvia; Mytilida; Mytilidae.